RNAcentral lists this long non-coding RNA (8805 nucleotides) under Heterocephalus glaber (naked mole-rat). Its description in RNAcentral is "lncRNA (ENSHGLG00000050849.1)". Lineage: Eukaryota; Metazoa; Chordata; Mammalia; Rodentia; Bathyergidae. The record is from RNAcentral.
AAAAGGAAACUUUUUAUUUUGGUGGGGAGUGAGAGGCUGGGUGGGGAAAGGGGCGUGGCUUUUUCUUUGAGGAGGGGGUGACAUGCGGCAGCUUCUGCAUUGGGCGGUUCAUGCACCCUGGGUGGGCGUGGGGGGAGGCUUGGGGGGAGGGGCCUGCCGACCCCUCCCUCCCUGCCCUGCGGGAGGACUGAGAAGGCCCCCUUUAGCACCAGAGUUGGACGAUUUGCAAAGCUCGCCUCCCAGGCUCCGGACCCCGCCCCCAUCCCUGGGAGCGCCCCUCUGCCCCUCCUCCCCCCACAGGCCAGGCCCGCCCCGCCCACUUCCGAGUGAGAGAAAUUUAUUGCUGUGUGUGUGUUUUGGGGAGGGGGAGCCUCAGAAGCUCCACCCCCCGCCAUUCCUUCCUCCCCGAUCGCCCCGCCCCAUGCCCCGUGUCCGUGCGUUCCCGGAGCGCAGGAGGGGCGCGACAUGCGAGUGGGGGGCACGCGUCAUGCAGCGCAUGCGUGUAGUUGCAGGCACCUGGCGGCCGAGGAGAAAGGAGCGGACUAGGAGGCAGUCCCUUUAGCUCGCCCUCCCUCCCCGAAUCCCACACUUUGUUGACUUGGGGGGUGGGGAGGGGCGGGACGAAAGUCACGUUUUGUAGAUGUUUAUGAUGGUGGGGUUUGUUUUUAAGCUGAACUAAAAAGCUGGGUACGUGUGGCCGAUUGGCGAGCAGGGGGAGCCGUUGGGAAGAGGUCAGUACCCUUGGGGAAAGACUCACCCCCCUUCCCUGCCCUGUUCUUUGUGUGAGGGUCAGGGGAAACUGGGGGGCUGUUUAAAGAAGUUGAACCCUUUGGCAAUAUGAUCAGUCCCCACCCGCACCCUAGUGUCCGGAGCCCCUAGCCCUUUACCCCGCCCCAACCUCCCCCUCCCCACCCUUCACCCGAUUCACCAGGGCUUAGGGGGCCGAGGGGAGGAUGGGGGGACUCAAAAUGCCCCUUGCAUAGGAAUCGUUGCAUCGAGAAUCGUGCUCAGUGACGCCCCCACCCGCCCACGGUUGGGCGCAGGGGGGUUCCUGAGGCUGCAGGAGCAGGGGGAGGGAGGGGGACGAUUCCGCGGGCCCCCAGCUCCAAGGGGGGCUCCGCUAAGGAUUCUGGGACCGGCGCGGGCUCUGGGCCGGGGAGGUAGCGCAUCCUUGAGCCCGGAUGCGGUAUGAGGGGUGGCUUCCGCGAGCGUGGCGGCAAGUGAGGGGCGCCAGCCCUCUGGGGACGGCUUGGUCUCCCAGGCUGACUCUGCAGCGUCCCUCCAAUUGGGCCCGGCCCAUGCGGUCCGGGAGUGCCUCCGAUGGAAACACUUGUAACCUACAUGAUGCCCCGACCAAGCAGCGCUACCCGAUUCACGCGCAAAAUGUGCGCAUUCAAGAGAAAGCUUUUUAAACAGGCGCUCUUCGGGGUGCUGCCCACAACCUUGUCCUGCCAGCAAGGGCACCAGUGCGACACACCGGGAAACUGGUGGCCAUGAAGGGGGCACCUUUGGGCACCAUCUCGGGGAAGGGGCCUGUGGGCAGGGCCGGGGUGAAAGAGGGGCUGCUGGGUCUGGCUCCCUGGAGUUGCGGACAGGCAGAGCCCGCCUGGGAAGUUCUAGCGUCGGGGGUCCUGGGAAGGAUGAGUCUGAUGUUCUUUGUGGGACUUGAGGGUGUUGGGGAGCAGGCCGGAAGAUCUGGGGGUGUCCGGGAAAUGUCAGAGUUGUGGGAAAGAUCUGGAGCAUCCCAAAGGCUGAACUGAGCUGGAGCUGGGUGGACGCUUGGAGGUCUGAAGUGCUGGGGGUGCGACCCGGGGAAUGGGAGUGUGGGAGGGGCAGGGGGAAGCGUCUGUUUGCAGCGGAGAAGCCCCCAAAGUGUGUGGACAUUUGGGGGCGCAGGGUGCCAGGGCCCAUCUCAGGAAUUCCAGAUGCAGGUCUUAAUGUCCUGGGAAUGGAGGGGUGGGGACUUUGAGGGCCUGGGAUUCCCAGGAACCCUGGGUGAGGGGUCUGAGUCCAUGCAGAGAGGACAGAAGCGAGCAGCUCCCUUGUGUGUGUGGGGGGGGGACGAAAUUCACCAGCGGGAUCUUCCCGAAGGCCGGGGGAGCCGCCAUGGGCAGCGCACGCUCCUGAGCUCCUGCCUCAGCCGACCGCCUGUCCUCGGAGGGCGUCCCUCCUGCCCCUGUCCUAGGUGGCUCCCUCCUGAUCAGUGUGUGUUGGGUUGGUUGCCCUGAGGUGGAGGGCAAGAGACUGCCCCUGUGGCUUGAAGACCAGCCUGACCCCUAGAGGUUCCAGCCCCUCCCCUCCAACUCUCGGCUUGUAGCCCCUGGCGGCUUAUUGCUAAGGUGGUUUGGGAGCAGGGGGUCUGGCUGGAGAGCAUGCAGAGUAGGGGCGCCCCGAGAUGGAAUUGGUGUGGUUUGGACUUAUUUACACGACUUGAUGGGAGAGGGUGUCCUAUGGCUCAUGGAGACCUGAGAAGGCUUUUUGUGGGGGAGUGGGGUGGGUGGGGGGAUGGGCUUUGGCCCCUCCCCUUCCAUCCUAGGGGCCCAGGUGGGGGUCGAGAGCCCCGGGGGUGUCUGCUGGCGGGGGUGUCUGCUGGCGUCAUCAUCUCGGUUGCAUAUUAUUAAUGACUUUUUGAUUUUUUUAAAAAAAUACCUUCCCCAUCCCCCCACCCCCAGCUCCUUUGACCUUCUUCCUGGUCACCCCCGAGUCCCCCCACAGGGGGGAGGGAGUGCUAGAGGAUGGAGGGCAGGGUUGGGGGGGCGCGGCGGGUGGCCCGGGGAGAGCCAGGGGGGGUGGCAAGGGGCGCGAGGCGCAGGGACACCCCGCUCAGGCCCGCGAUGCUGCUCAGGCUGCGGGAUUUCUCGUAACCUGGGGAAGGGGCAGAAACACGAGGAGGAAGCAUGGAGAUGGGGCGCGGGGCAGGUCCCACGGAGAGACCCCCAAGACAGGGAGAGAGAGAGACAAGGGAGAGGGCGAGAGACAUCCAGAGAGACAAAGGCAGUGGGGAACAGUUAGAGACAGAGAGGGAGGGGGCACAAAAAGAGGGGGCGAGGUGCAGAGGUGGGUGGUGCGGGCCGAGGAGGUGGAGAGAGAAGUGAACAAAUCGCAGUCAGUCAGCGUCCACGAGGAAGGUGCAGACACGGGGCGGGGCGGGGAGACUCCGGAUUGGGAGGCGGCGCGCCCCCAGGCCUCCGCCCCUCCCCACCGACCCCCACCCCUGUGGUCCCCUAGUCUGAGGCCAAAGGUGGGGGGCAGCAAGGCAGGAUGGUGGGCGGCAGGGUCGUGAGGAGGGGCUGGGUGGAAUGGAGUGGGGGAGCAGCCGGUGGGGAGGGCUGGGGGGACCAGCUGAGGCGGCAGCGCGGGGCUGGGGGCCACCAGCCUCGAGGAUAGGCCGGGAGGCCUGGACGGAGCCAGAGCGGGGUGGGGGGGCCUUGGGGAGUCCAGGCGGACUCCAAGGGCGGGAGGGGAGGGGCGAGGCUCGGGCCGAGGCAGCCAGGGUCCAGGAGUGUCCAGGAAGUCAGGGAGGCAGGACCGAUCUGGGGUACCCCAGAGCUGAAAUGGGCGUCUGCGGUGAAGGUGACGGGAAGGCCUUAGGGGUACACCUCGGGGAGCCCGGACCCGGAGGUCCUGCGUGUGGUUUCUACCAUCGCACCUCAUGUGGUGGCUUUUCUGGGCAGAGGGGGGGCUGUCUGGAGUGGGGGUCCUGAAUGGAGGAGAAAGGGCCUGGGGACUGAAGCCCGAUAUCUUGGGUUUACCCCCUGCCCCGCCCCCCCCGUUCCCAAAUGCUAACCUGGGGGGAAGGGGCAGGGGGGACCCGAGGGUCUCGCGAGGUCUCAGGCGGUGACCAGAGCUGGGGACAGAAAUACAGAGAGUCACAGUGGGGAGGAGCAUGGAGGGGGAACCCCCCCAACACAGCCUCACUGUUGGGGGGGGAUGGAGAACGCCAGAACCUCUUCCUCCUCCUCGCUGUUUUCUGGGGGAGGGGGAGCAGUGAAAUGGGCGUGGCCAGAGACAUCAAAUAUGGAAGGAGCUUCCGGGGUGGCUGGGGGGCAUGGGAGGAGGAGGAGGGGACAGGGGUGGGGAAGGGAGAGGAGGAAUGACAGGGUGUGGGUCGCAGGGUGUCUUGGGGGAAGGAGGGUCAAGGGUCACCUGGGGAGGGAGGAGUGGGGGUGGCUCAGGCUUCGGGACACACAGGUGAGGGUCCAGUCACCCCAUCAGCUCCAGUCAUUAUUUGAGUUCAGUGAAUGGAUGUUGGCAUCGUAGGCAAGAGAAGCAGGGACCACCCCCCAGCCCUCACCAGAUCCCCCACCCCACCUCCAUUCUACCCCCCCAUUCCACCAGGGCCCCUCAGACCUAGGGGUGGGACAUCAGGGCCACAGGGAGUGGGAACAAGCAGGGGAAGAGCUGGGGGGGAGGAGAUGACAAUGGAGGACUGUGAGGGUCAUGGAAAGGGGGGCACAGACUCUGGACGGGAGCCGAAGCCUUCUCCUCCCUGGACUGUGUGGGACAUGGGGGCUUGGCCAGGCAUCCUGGGGGGCCCCCAGGUUCCCCUACAGCUUCUCCUUAGGCUUCUUCAGGGUGUGUUUGUUUCUAAAGGGAGAAGUCUGUGGACAUUUGCUCAGAUAAGCUUCCCAUCACAUUUGUGAUCAAUCCCAGCAUCUUCAUGGCCAUGGUCUUGUUCCCCACUCCCUCGGUACCCCUCUUCCCUGGCUUGCUCAGCCCCAGCCACAGUGGCUGUUUCUUUAAGAGACCACUUCAGCACCUCAGGACUUGCCUUGUUGCUCCUUUUUGUUUGUUUCCCCCUUCUUCCUCCAAUUAGAGCUUGGCUGACUUUUCCUGUACAGCACUAAAUAGUAAACACUUUUUGGCUAUAGGAACCAUAUGGCCUCAGUCACAAUUACUCUGCUGUGUUGUAGCUUAACAUGAUUUGUGUCCCAAUAAAGUUUUAUUUACAAAAACAGCUGGCUGGAAGCUUAGAGCCCUAUUACCAAUCUGUGCUCUAGAUUGUGAAGCUGUGAUGGAAGGUUCUCCCUUUGCUCACCACCAGAUCUCCAGGGCCUGGGGCUGUGGCCUCAUUGCUUCAGGCCAUGGUGACACACAACUGUAAUCCUAGCUACAUGGAAGGCUAAGGCAGGAGGAUUAAGUCUGAGGUCAGCCUGGGCAACUUAGUGAGACCUUGUCUCAAAAAAAAAUUUUUUUUUUUGGUACUGGGGGGAUCAAACUCAGGACCUUUCACUUGCAAGGCAGGCACCAGAACCACUGAGGUAAAUCCUCAGCCCCCCAAAAAAUUUUUUUAAAGCUGGAUAUGGUGGCACAUGUCUGUAAUUCCAGAAUUUGGGAGGCUGAAGUAGGAAGACUGCCACGAGUUCAAAGCCCACCUAUGCUACAUAGUGAGUUCAAGGCCAGCUUGAACUACAUAGUGAGAAGCUGUCUCAAAAAAUAAAAAUCAAAAAAUUUAAAGGACGGGGUUGUAGCUCGGGGGUAGAGUACUUAUAGUUGCAAGGCCCUGGGUUCAAUCCUCAGCACCAUAAAGGGGGGGGGGGCAAGAUCAUAGAGUAUAUUAACUUCCAGCACAUGGGAGGUACUGGGCUUUGCAUUGCUAAGGACCUCUUCAUCCCUGCCCCCACGUCUUGACCUCUGACCCCUUCCUGUCCAUCCCCACAGCUUAAGUCUCUUGUUUCCCCAAGACCCUCACCUCAGCCUGACCUCAUCUGACUGCUGCCUCCCUCUAAUCACGGGGAGGUGGCUUCUCUUCUCCAACCUGGGCACCGGAAGUUGUCCCUGUCCCUCCCCCAGGAGUCUUGUGUAUUCCUCUUCCUCCGCCCAAGCACAGGUGACCUCCACUGAUGACUCCAGACUUGACUGCCUCCCUGCAGCUCCUGCCUAACUCACAGCCCCUGGCGCCCAGCAUCCCGCACCCAGAAGCGUCUGGGUGCACACCCCACUUUCCUAAUGGAACGCAAACCCAGGGGAGGAGCAGGGAGAGAUCGUGAUGGGGAUCAGUCAUGAGGACAGGGUGUGGAGGGAUGGUGGGGUUAGUUCUGGGGGGUUAGGUGGGGACAUGGUGAGUCGGGGGGCGCUGGGGUCAGUGUCAGGGAGGGGUGCAGCUGUUCACAGUGGGGGAGCAGAGUCUCGGUCAGUGGGGCUGCAUGUUGUGGGAAGGGUUAGUCGAGGGGAAAGGGAAGGGGGGGGAGCAGGGGGGCUACUUACCCCGGGGGAGGGGUUCGUCCACUAGGGGGGGAUAUCCAGGCUGCGGCGUUGGCGUUGAGGUCGGGCAAGAAGCUUGGGGGCCUGGCUUACGCCAGUCGUGGGGGAGCAGGGGGAGCACCAGUGGCUGGGUGAGGAGGAGGCCAAGGGGCAGGGGAUGGAGAUGGAAUAAAGACAGUGAAGGGUCAGUGGAGAGGGGCCUGGGGCGGCAGGUUUGGGAGGGGAGGCAGUGUGGGGCAAGGAUGGGGGAGAGGGAAGCUGGGCACCCCACCCUCACCCUCUCCACCCCACCCCCCGGCAGGGGAGGGCGAAGAGGGUCCCGGCAGGGGGCCCAUGGAGCCCACCUCACCUUUUCGGAUGGAGCCGUCAGGGGGAAGGGGCAUAGUCGGUGAGGAGAAAGCAGGCACGGUCCCGGCUGUAGCGGCCCCGGCUCGGGGUGAUGGGGCUCUUGUCCUCGGGGGACGCGGCGGGCUGGUCGAUGGCGGGACAAUCCUCGUGGGCCAGCGCAGCUGCGCAGGAUCGCCAUUGGGGCGGGGAUCUGCUUCCCCGGGGUCAGACAGACACAGAGGAGAGAGUGAGGGUCGGAAUGAGGGCAGAGACAAGAUUCCAGGCCAGGGUCCCUGGGGGAACCUGGGGUGGGGACAGGGCGCCUGCGGGGCUGGGGCCGGGCGUGCGGGUGCGGGGGAAGAAUGCAGGAAGACGUGGCUGCGUGCUGGGGUUGGUGGGAGCCAGCUGAGCAGACCCUGACCCAGGUGGGAUGCUGGGGGCCUGGAGGGGACGGCUGGAUGAGGCAGGGAGGAAGUGGUAGUGGGGUGCUGAAAGGGCAGCGUGGGGACGGGCUGAGAGGAUAGAUGAGGGAGGGGAAGGUGGGGGUCCCCUAGGGGCUGACUCGAGCUAUUUUUAAUGGGUGUGAAACCGGGUCAGUGGCUGAGGGAACAAGAUGGGGGCUGGGUGGCCCAGCUCCCUUUCUUGACCUACUUAAGGCCUGGGGGUGGGGCCCACCUCUCCCUCCUCCCCGACACUCAGAUUACUGUCUCCGAGGGACUCCUGGACCUGGAUGUACGCAAGCACGCUCGCACCAGCACGCACACAUGCAUGCACGCACGCACAGACGCAGGGACAGUCGACCUUCUCCCUCCCGCGCCCCCGCCCCUCCUCCCCUCAGUGACAUCUGUGUGGAGCUCUCUCUAGAGCCGCCCAGCACCCUGGCACCCCAGCCUCUCUGCCCUGUGACCUCUAGAGGCCCGCUGUGACCUCACUGUGAGGCCAUCCUGGCUUCUCUCGACGGCCCCACCUGCCCUCACCCGCCUGCCCCUUUGUCUCUGCACUUCCUCCUGCAGACCCACCGUGUCCCACUGUCAACCCAGGACUGUCCCUUUCCCCCAGCCUCCUUCUCCAGCCUGCCCAGGCCCCACGAGAGACUCUGGAGUCCCUCUCGCCAAAUGGCCCAUUGCUCUGCCUCCAUGGCCCCUCGGAACAGCGUGGCUUCCAGUCUGCCUCUCUCCAAAGAGAGACAAGAAAUCCCGCGCUUCUGUGGGUCCGUGGGGCUCCUCUCUGGCCUGCCUCACCGUCGCCUUCCCUCUCCCCACUGUGUCCGGCCGCCUUGUCUCUGAGCCUCCCACCGGUCUCCAUCUGCUCCACACCCCCAAGCCAGCCUCACCUGCCCUGUUGAUUUCAACCACUUCCUCCUGAGCCAGUGGGCAGGGCUCACCAGGGGCCGGCAGGGGAGGCAGCCCCAUGAUCCCCAGUCCCCCUGCACCCCCCUGAGCAGCCCGGGGUGCGUGUGGGAGCCCUGGCGAGGUAGGCCCCAGCCACAGUCACCCCCACGGAGGGUGGGCUGAUGGGUGGGGGGGGGGCUGAUGCCCCCGCUGCCGUGGUGAGGGGGUGUGUUGGAGGUGGCGGGGGUGGGUCAGGCUUGCAGUAGUUGGGCGAGCCAGGCUGGGGGGCCGAGGGGGAUGUGUUUGUUCUUCUUCUUAGGCAGCUUCUGUUUGGCCAUGGCCAGUGAAUAGUACAUGCCAAAAUUGUUGACAAUGACAGGAACAGGCAUGGCGAUAGUCAGCACCCUGCCAGGGCACACAGCGCCCCAACCAGCAUCCCAGACCACGUCUUGGGGUACAUGUCUCUCCAUAGCCCAGGGUCGUCAUGGUGACCACAGCCCACCAGAAGCCCCGAUGGGGAUGUUCUUGAAGUAGGUGUAGUUGGACCCCAGGAUGUCGUCGGGUCGGCGCCAAUGCGCUCAGCAUAGUAGAUCAUGGUGGCAAAGAUGAGCACCCCAGGGCCAGGAAGAUGAUGAGCAGCAGGAACUCAUUGGUGCUGGCAGGCGUAAAGCGUGUGGCCCAGCACCCGCAGCCCCACGAAGUGGCGGGUCAGCUUGAAGAUACGCAAGAUUCGGACAAAGCGCACGACAGCGCAGGAAGCCCAACACGUCCUUGGCGGCCUUGGAGCUGAGGCCCGAGAGGCCGACCUCAGGUAGAAGGGCAGAAUGGCCACACAGUCGAUGAUGUUGAGGCUGCUCUUGAGAAACUCCACCUUGUCCGGGCAGAAGGUGAUGCGCAUGAGGAACUCAAAGGUGAACCAGACCACGCACGCGCCCUCCACGUC